UGAAGCACUCAAUCCUCUGAGGGUUUACUU
RNAcentral lists this non-coding RNA (30 nucleotides) under Rattus norvegicus (Norway rat). The record is from RNAcentral. Lineage: Eukaryota; Metazoa; Chordata; Mammalia; Rodentia; Muridae.